CCGCCCCUUGCCGGAUUCGAACCGGCGACCCUUGGAUUCGGCUUCCAAUACGCUUUCCUCUGCGCCAAAGGGG
RNAcentral lists this transfer RNA (73 nucleotides) under Belgica antarctica. RNAcentral's name for it is "tRNA IU25_tRNA_12". The record is from RNAcentral. Lineage: Eukaryota; Metazoa; Arthropoda; Insecta; Diptera; Chironomidae.